Molecule: ribosomal RNA, 167 nt
Filed under: uncultured Actinomycetes bacterium
Lineage: Bacteria; Bacillati; Actinomycetota; Actinomycetes
Description: uncultured actinobacterium partial 16S ribosomal RNA
Rfam family: Bacterial small subunit ribosomal RNA
Source: RNAcentral
CGGAGGAAGGUGGGGAUGACGUCAAAUCAUCAUGCCCCUUAUGUCUAGGGCUGCAAACAUGCUACAAUGGCCGGUACAAAGGGCUGCGAUACUGUGAGGUGGAGCUAAUCCCAAAAAGCCGGUCUCAGUUCGGAUUGGGGUCUGCAACUCGACCCCAUGAAGUCGGA